RNAcentral lists this long non-coding RNA (1022 nucleotides) under Erythranthe guttata (spotted monkey flower). RNAcentral describes it as "long non-coding RNA (EGUT_LNC001404)". The record is from RNAcentral. Lineage: Eukaryota; Viridiplantae; Streptophyta; Magnoliopsida; Lamiales; Phrymaceae.
AAUAAAAAUAAAAAUCAUCUUCAUCAAUCGUUCAUUUCGGGCAGGGAUAUAGUCGAGGUAUAAUCUUUCUUCUCUUCUCUACGAAUAAAGGAAAACAAGAAAGUUAAGGUGUAGGGUUUUGAUUUUUGUGUGUUUUCUAAUUCAUGAAUUGGACAAAUCCAUAUAUAACUGUGUUUCGUGUAGUUAUUGUGUACAGAAAAACAAAAUUGACAUCUGGGGUUAGCAAAGAUUUAGACGGUUGUUUUUAUCGGUUUAUCAAUUGAUUUCUUCAAUUAAUUUAUUCAACUACGUGUUUGAUUGAUUUUUCUUAACAAUCUAUUUGGAGUUGGGCUUAUUGAAGGAUUUGCGUGUUAAUGAUUAAUUACAGUUCACACCAUACUUGGUGUUCUAGUUUGUCGGUUUUUGUCAGUAUGAGAGGUCGACAAUUGAGAUUCCAUUCCAUGAAUUUUACAGAAAACCAGACAUUAGUCUUCAAGUUCAGCCGCAAAAAAAAAGCCUUCAAGCCAAAGCUCCGAGAAUCCUUCGGUUUAUCUUUCCCUUGUCUUCGAUUUUCUUCAAAGGGGUAAGGACUCUAGUCUUUACUGAAUCAAUGAUAAAUAAUAAGAUAUGUUUAUGUGUUGAAUUGAUUUAUAUGUUUAGGAAUCGAAUUUAGGGAUCUAGGUCAAGAAAUAUAGAUUUCAAUGAACCCUAGUUCAAAAUUCAGAUUCGUAGCCCCAUCUUCCAGUGCAUGUUUCAUCAAUGAUUUAUUUUAUGAAAAUUAUGAAAUUAAAUGUGCAUGCAGAUGUUUCUGUUAACUUCGUUUUGAUAUAUGGUAUGCGUAAAUAAGAAUUAUAUUGGUCAAGUUAUGAACCAUUUUCCGAAACUGCACAAUUUCUGAGUCAUCUAUGAAUUAUGUGUUAAAUUAGAUUUUAUCUUAUUUUGAUUCAUGAGAUUCUAAUUGGAUAUGAUUAUAGACUUAUAAAUCUGAUUCUCAACGAAAUUUCAUGGUGUUUGGUUGAAAGAAUGAUUUAUUUGGUAUUUUU